AGUGAACGCUGGCGGCAGGCCUAACACAUGCAAGUCGAGCGGCAGCGGGUCCUUCGGGAUGCCGGCGAGCGGCGGACGGGUGAGGAAUGCGUCGGAAUCUGCCUUUUUGUGGGGGAUAACGUAGGGAAACUUACGCUAAUACCGCAUACGACCUACGGGUGAAAGUGGGGGACCGCAAGGCCUCACUCAGAAAGAUGAGCCGACGUCGGAUUAGCUAGUUGGCGGGGUAAAGGCCCACCAAGGCGACGAUCCGUAGCUGGUCUGAGAGGAUGAUCAGCCACACUGGAACUGAGACACGGUCCAGACUCCUACGGGAGGCAGCAGUGGGGAAUAUUGGACAAUGGGCGCAAGCCUGAUCCAGCCAUGCCGCGUGUGUGAAGAAGGCCUUCGGGUUGUAAAGCACUUUUGUCCGGAAAGAAAUCCUGUCGGCUAAUACCCGGCGGGGAUGACGGUACCGGAAGAAUAAGCACCGGCUAACUUCGUG
RNAcentral lists this ribosomal RNA (484 nucleotides) under uncultured bacterium. RNAcentral's name for it is "partial 16S ribosomal RNA". It matches the Rfam family "Bacterial small subunit ribosomal RNA", at positions 29 to 507 of the family's 1533-position model. The record is from RNAcentral.